GAGAGGUAGUAGAGGGGCAGCCUAUGGUAUCCGAAGUCCAGCAGAGAUGGCCUGCACUGUUUUCCUGUGAAGAGAUAUCUGAAGAAUUUCAUCGCAUCACCAGCAAAGACCUCCUGAAGACUUUCAAUGAGUCCCUUGAGAAUGAUGUGCCUCGCCUGCUCAGACUGUACCGGGCUAAAAAGGGAGCUUUUGGUCAGUAAAUAGAAGACUUCCUGGAUAAGCUUGAUGAACAGACAUCAGACAUUGUGUCUCACCGAAAGAUGACAGCACUGAGAUGCCUCCCCGUUUUUGUCCGGGACGACACAACUAAGUUUUUCCUGCAGCAUUUGAAAACUGGCCUGAAGAAAGAGUGCUCAGAGGCGUGUCUGUUGGCAUCCUUACAAUCCUUGAAGAAGAUGAUCCUGCUGUAUCACCCAACGUACGGG
Long non-coding RNA from Entelurus aequoreus (snake pipefish), 425 nucleotides. RefSeq lists it as uncharacterized. The transcript has 4 exons. The record is from RefSeq and is a predicted model, not a curated record. Lineage: Eukaryota; Metazoa; Chordata; Actinopteri; Syngnathiformes; Syngnathidae.